Molecule: ribosomal RNA, 396 nt
Filed under: uncultured bacterium
Lineage: Bacteria
Description: bacterial SSU rRNA
Rfam family: Bacterial small subunit ribosomal RNA
Source: RNAcentral
CAGCCCUUGACAUGGGACGUAUGGUCACGAGAGAUCGUGUCUUCAGUUCGGCUGGCGUCCACACAGGUGCUGCAUGGCUGUCGUCAGCUCGUGUCGUGAGAUGUUGGGUUAAGUCCCGCAACGAGCGCAACCCUCAUCUUCAGUUGCCAUCGGGUAAGGCCGGGCACUCUGAAGAAACUGCCGGUGACAAGCCGGAGGAAGGCGGGGAUGACGUCAAGUCCUCAUGGCCCUUAUGGGCUGGGCUACACACGUGCUACAAUGGCGGUGACAGAGGGAAGCGAUGGCGCGAGCCUGAGCCAAUCUCGAAAAGCCGUCUCAGUUCGGAUUGCUCUCUGCAACUCGAGAGCAUGAAGUCGGAAUCGCUAGUAAUCGCGGAUCAGCAUGCCGCGGUGAAUA